GUAGGUGGCAAGCGUUGUCCGGAAUUAUUGGGCGUAAAGCGCGCGCAGGCGGUUCUUUAAGUCUGAUGUGAAAGCCCACGGCUCAACCGUGGAGGGUCAUUGGAAACUGGAGAACUUGAGUACAGAAGAGGAAAGCGGAAUUCCACGUGUAGCGGUGAAAUGCGUAGAGAUGUGGAGGAACACCAGUGGCGAAGGCGGCUUUCUGGUCUGUAACUGACGCUGAGGCGCGAAAGCGUGGGGAGCAAACAGGGAUUAGAUACCCUGGUAGUCCACGCCGUAAACGAUGAGUGCUAAAUGUUAGGGGGUUUCCGCCCCCUUAGUGCUGCAGCUAACGCAUUAAGCACUCCGCCUGGGGAUACGGCCGCAAGGCUG
This 372-nucleotide ribosomal RNA is filed under the name uncultured organism. RNAcentral describes it as "partial 16S ribosomal RNA". It matches the Rfam family "Bacterial small subunit ribosomal RNA", at positions 527 to 896 of the family's 1533-position model. The record is from RNAcentral.